RNAcentral lists this long non-coding RNA (745 nucleotides) under Ananas comosus (pineapple). RNAcentral's name for it is "long non-coding RNA (ACOM_LNC031227)". The record is from RNAcentral. Lineage: Eukaryota; Viridiplantae; Streptophyta; Magnoliopsida; Poales; Bromeliaceae.
UUAUACAAACCCGAACUCAAACCCGAACCCGAACCUGAAUCCAAAUGGAGCAAAUUUAUCUGAUGUUAAACGGAUAUGGUUUCGGAUAUGAAUAUCAAAAAUAAAAACAAUAUCAAAAACAAAAACCCGACAAAUAUGAAUUCGAAUAUGGAUUUUAACUGUACCUGUUAAAUAUAAAAAUGUUUAAAAACACCGUUCUCUAAUAGCUUAAGCUUUUAGAGUAUAACGGUUGUUUCACAUGGUAUCAGAGCAGGUGGUCCUGAGUUCGAGUCAUGCCAGGCUCCUAGCAUAUUAAUUUCCUUCCAUUUAAUUCAAGCCCACGUCAUGGACCGAUUAAAAAGUUUCGAGCCCAGACGUGAGGGGGAGCUUAAGCUUUUAGAGUACAACGGUUGUUUCACAGUACCCGAUCCGAACCGGAACCCAACCCGAACCGGACACAAAUCCGAAUUUAUUCUACAUUAUAUAUAAUAUGUAUAUAAAAAUUUGAUGUUAUAUUUGAAUUUAUAUUUUAAAAAUUUUAAUUUAAUAUAAUAUAUUUUGAAAUGUUAAAAAGAGAAAUAAUUGUUUUGGUUUCGAAUUUUUGGAUUUGGGUUUGGGUUCAGGUUUCGAAUUUUUUAUUGGGUUUGGAUUUGGAUAUGAAUUUUUAAAAUCCAUCGGAUUCGAAUUCGAAUUCAAAUUUCAGAUUUGGAGUCGAGUUCUAAUUUGAAUUUUAAAAAAUUCGCUCCGAAUUCGACCCGUUGAUAUU